GGAGAAUUCUCACAACUCAGGAAUUAGUGGACAGUGCUCUGUCCAGUGCUAGACAGGACCAGUUUCAAGUGCCAAGAAAUGAAGGAAAAAAGAUGCCCAUCUUUUUCACCGAGCUCUUUGUUCAAGGCUCUACAAAAUGAGAUCCUUACGUGCACCCACUGGAAGGCCAAUGGGAAGAACCAGCUUGCCCGAGCAGAGUGGUGCUGGUUGAAGUCCUCCUCAUCGGCGUAGAUGUCAACGAGGCUCCGGAAAGAUGAUCUCGCAGCCAGAGAAGGGAAAAGGAAGAAAGACGCCACGGGAAUAUGGCGGCGGCGAUGGGCGAGUCCAGACUAGGCCCUCAGGUCCUCCAGUCCUAAUGAGGUAUAACACAUCCAGUACAAUAAAUCCAUUGAGCAGCCUGUCGAUGGAUGACCCUGUGGGCAAGAGUAGGAAGGCCACACUCCUGCUGGGAAGUCCUUUCUCGGGCUGGCCGGUGGAAAACUUUGUGAUCACCUUCAGAAAACUGACAAAUCUAUUACAGUAA
This 523-nucleotide long non-coding RNA is filed under the name Fukomys damarensis (Damara mole-rat). Its description in RNAcentral is "lncRNA (ENSFDAG00000030688.1)". The record is from RNAcentral. Lineage: Eukaryota; Metazoa; Chordata; Mammalia; Rodentia; Bathyergidae.